This 460-nucleotide ribosomal RNA is filed under the name uncultured bacterium. Its description in RNAcentral is "partial 16S ribosomal RNA". It matches the Rfam family "Bacterial small subunit ribosomal RNA", at positions 338 to 795 of the family's 1533-position model. The record is from RNAcentral.
CCUACGGGUGGCUGCAGUGAGGAAUAUUGGUCAAUGGGCGCGAGCCUGAACCAGCCAAGCAGCGUGAAGGAUGACUGCCCUACGGGUUGUAAACUUCUUUUGUAAAGGAAUAAAGUGAGGCACGUGUGCCUUUUUGUAUGUACUUUAUGAAUAAGGAUCGGCUAACUCCGUGCCAGCAGCCGCGGUAAUACGGAGGGUCCGAGCGUUAUCCGGAUUUAUUGGGUUUAAAGGGAGCGUAGAUGGGUUGUUAAGUCAGUUGUGAAAGUUUGCGGCUCAACCGUAAGACUGCAAUUGAUACUGGCAGUCUAGAGUACAGUUGAGGUAGGCGGAAUUCGUGGUGUAGCGGUGAAAUGCUUAGAUAUCACGAAGAACUCCGAUGGCGAAGGCAGCUUACUAAACUGCCACUGACGUUGAGGCUCGAAAGUGUGGGUAUCAAACAGGAUUAGAUACCCGAGUAGUC